GAAAGUAAUGAAGGGCGUACGGUGGAUGCCUAGGCUCUUACAGGCGAUGAAGGACGUGAUAAGCUGCGAAAAGCCGCGGUGAGGCGCAAAUGGCCCUUGACCCGCGGAUCUCCGAAUGGGACAACCCAAUAUCUUGAAGAGAUAUUAUCCCGCCGGUGCGGGAGGCGAACGCGGGGAACUGAAACAUCUUAGUACCCGCAGGAAAAGAAAAUAAAGAAUGAUUCCCCCAGUAGUGGCGAGCGACCGGGGAAGAGCCCAAACCGACGUUGUCUCGGCAUCGUCGGGGUUGUAGGACCGCGCCAUCGCAAGAAAGGCCGUGAGUGGAAGCGACUGGAAAGCCGCGCCAUAGAGGGUGACAGCCCCUUACACGAAGCAGCCUGAAGCGUAGCGGACUCCUGAGUAGCGCGGGACACGAGUAAUCCUGUGUGAAUCCGCCGGGCCCAUCCGGCAAGGCUAAAUACUCGUAAGAGACCGAUAGUGAACCAGUACCGUGAGGGAAAGGUGAAAAGUACCCCUUGCAGGGGAGUGAAAGAGUUCCUGAAACCGUACGCCUACAAGCGGUCGGAGCAUCUUGAAUGAUGUGACGGCGUGCCUUUUGCAUAAUGAACCUACGAGUUGCCGUCACCAGCGAGGUUAAGUGCGACGACGCACCGAGCCGCAGCGGAAGCGAGUCUUAAAAGGGCGCGAUAGUUGGUGGAGGCAGACGCGAAACCGAGUGAUCUACACUUGUCCAGGAUGAAGUCCCGGUAACACGGGAUGGAGGUCCGCACCAAUAAGCGUUGAAAAGCUUCUGGAUGAGGUGAGUGUAGGAGUGAAAGGCCAAUCAAACUCGGAGAUAGCUCGUACUCCCCGAAAGGCAUUUAGGUGCCGCCUGUGGCGUUCCCGACGUGAGGUAGAGCGACUGAUAGGAUGCGAGGGCUUCACCGCCUAUCAAGUCCUGACAAACUCCGAAUGCACGUCGGCCAAGCCAUGGAGUAAGGGCAUGGGUGCUAAGGUCCGUGCCCGAGAGGAGAAGAAUCCAGACCACCGGCUAAGGUCCCGAAAUACUGGUUAAGUUAGACUAACGCAGUCCGGCCCCCAAGACAGCUAGGAUGUUGGCUUGGAAGCAGCCAUUCAUUCAAAGAGUGCGUAACAGCUCACUAGUCGAGGAGCUGGGCGUGGAUAAUAAUCGGGUAUAAAACCAGUUACCGAAGCCGUGGGAUGCUCAAGCAUCGGUAGGGGAGCAUUGCAUGCGGCUUGGAAGGCGGGGCGCGAGCCCCUCUGGAGCGCAUGGAAACGCAAAUGUAGGUAUAAGUAACGACAAGGGGGGUGGGAUGCCCCCCCGCCGAAAGACCAAGGUUUCCUGAACAACGCUAAUCGGUUCAGGGUCAGUCGGGUCCUAAGCAUAAGCCGUAUGGCGAGGGCGAUGGAUGAAACGGUUAAUAUUCCGUUACUGUCUUGGUGUGUGACGCGGCGACGGAGUAGUGACACGGCCGCCUCCUGACGGAAAAGGGGGUUGAAGCGCAAAGGUGUCGAGGAAGGCAGGCAAAUCCACCUUCCGAGCCGAAGCGCGAAAGUACGCCGGGCCCUUUGGGGCAAGGCGAUAGUGCCGGUAAUCAGACUUCCAAGAAAACCCGCUAAACUUCAGCACCAAGUCACCCGUACUCCAAACGGACACACGUGGUCGGGUAGAAUAUACUAAGGCGCUUGGGAGAUUCACGGUUAAGGAACUAGGCAAAUUGACCCCGUACCUUCGGAAUAAGGGGUCCUCGCUUUUGCGAGGCGCAGAGAAUAGGUCCAGGCAACUGUUUAACAAAAACACAGGGCUGUGCCAAUUUGAAAGAAGAAGUAUACAGCCUGACACCUGCCCGGUGCCGGAAGGUUAAGAGGAGAGCUCAUCAGCGAUGAGAAGGCUUGAAUUGAAGCCCCGGUAAACGGCGGCCGUAACUAUAACGGUCCUAAGGUAGCGAAAUUCCUUGUCGG
RNAcentral lists this ribosomal RNA (1962 nucleotides) under human gut metagenome. RNAcentral describes it as "bacterial LSU rRNA". It matches the Rfam family "Bacterial large subunit ribosomal RNA", at positions 1 to 1975 of the family's 2925-position model. The record is from RNAcentral.